GCCACCACAUUGGCGAAUUGAACCAUGACAGAUCCCAAAAAGGCCACCCAGAAAGCUACAAGAGCCAAAGCAUAAAAACUUCCAUAGGCAACCGAAGUUCAAAAACAUCAAGAAGAGCUCGUGAAAAAUACAAACCGGAAGGUGACAGAGGAAGAGCGUGUGGUAAUGCUGGCCAUAGGGAAUUGGGUCAUCGGACAUAAAGGUGACUCUCCUGAGAUUCUGCUAUCGUUAUGUAGAUAAUCUUCCUAGUAAACAGAGUAAGAUCUCAA
RNAcentral lists this long non-coding RNA (269 nucleotides) under Manihot esculenta (cassava). RNAcentral's name for it is "long non-coding RNA (MESC_LNC008037)". The record is from RNAcentral. Lineage: Eukaryota; Viridiplantae; Streptophyta; Magnoliopsida; Malpighiales; Euphorbiaceae.